CUAAAUUGUUGAUCUCUGACAAGCUUUUGAUCAACUGAGUAUCUUCUUCAGUUCUCACAGUGCAGGACUGGUUGUCUCACCCGAUUGAAUUUGUGUUGCAGACGCCCUCAUCUCCUCAUGCAGUUACAAAGACAGUUUCAGCUUUCAGACGGUCCAUGCUGGCAGAGGUGUCGCUAUCGGAGUCGCCAUCUACUCCUGCAGCGAUUCUGCCCAUAUUCUUCCCCUCAAUCAGACGCCUAUCUGUGGCCCAUCUGUCAAAAUCUUUGAUUCCAGCGAGGAAGGACAGAUAAAGGAAGAGAAGAAUGUGCUGUCGAUGUGGAAAAGGAACAAGGACGGCGAGUGUCCUAAUCUUAACCUCUGCAAAUGUCCGUGAAGAUGAAGCAGCUAUUAAGAUAAAUCAAAGUGAUUCAUUUUGGGGUUUUUUUGACCGAGUUUAGCUAAACAAAUUAGAUUUGAUGUUACUGAAAACAAAAGUGUAAAAUGUGCGGGGCCUCAUGAGGGGAACAGAUUUAAUUUGAGGCCUCAAAAACUUUCACCACACGAUCAAAUCUGGUCAGUCGUUUCAGUCAAAUAACUCUUUGGUUAAAGCAUCUUUUUUAUUUAUUUGUGUUUUGUUUAAACAUUGAUUUUAAUUGAAACAGGCAGGUCAGUAAAUCAAUUUGUGUUUUUAAUUAAUUAAUUAACAUAUUUAUUAAACUGUUUAUAAUAUGUUUAUAGUAUUUAUUAGCAAAAGAAGUCGAUUGAAGUUUAUUAACAUACUUAGUAAGAUUCAUUAUCAUCUGAAGUGACACCAUUGUCUAAAGAGGGCAUAUUAAUAAACGGCCUACAAGCUUAACAAAUGUA
Oryzias melastigma (Indian medaka) is the source of this 843-nucleotide long non-coding RNA. RefSeq lists it as uncharacterized. The record is from RefSeq and is a predicted model, not a curated record. The transcript is spliced from 3 exons. Lineage: Eukaryota; Metazoa; Chordata; Actinopteri; Beloniformes; Adrianichthyidae.